This 142-nucleotide ribosomal RNA is filed under the name uncultured eukaryote. RNAcentral describes it as "partial 18S ribosomal RNA". It matches the Rfam family "Eukaryotic small subunit ribosomal RNA", at positions 1299 to 1458 of the family's 1831-position model. The record is from RNAcentral.
UGGUGGAGUGAUUUGUCUGCUUAAUUGCGAUAACGAACGAGACCUUAAUCUGCUAAAUAGUUACGUGAACCUUUGCGUUCGUGGACAACUUCUUAGAGGGACUUUUGCGUGUUUUAACCAGAGGAAGUUUGAGGCAAUAACA